CUGCGGCAGCGACACUGUGUGUUGUUGGGUAGGGGAGCGUUCUGUAAGCCUGUGAAGGUGUGUCGUGAGGCAUGCUGGAGGUAUCAGAAGUGCGAAUGCUGACAUAAGUAACGAUAAAGCGGGUGAAAAGCCCGCUCGCCGGAAGACCAAGGGUUCCUGUCCAACGUUAAUCGGGGCAGGGUGAGUCGACCCCUAAGGCGAGGCCGAAAGGCGUAGUCGAUGGGAAACGGGUUAAUAUUCCCGUACUUGGUGUUACUGCGAAGGGGGGACGGAGAAGGCUAUGUUGGCCGGGCGACGGUUGUCCCGGUUUAAGCGUGUAGGUGUGUGUUCCAGGUAAAUCCGGUUCACUUUAACACUGAGGCGUGACGACGAGGCACUACGGUGCUGAAGCAACAAAUGCCCUGCUUCCAGGAAAAGCCUCUAAGCAUCAGGUAACAUCAAAUCGUACCCCAAACCGACACAGGUGGUCAGGUAGAGAAUACCAAAGCGCUUGAGAGAACUCGGGUGAAGGAACUAGGCAAAAUGGUGCCGUAACUUCGGGAGAAGGCACGCUGACACGUAGGUGAAGUGAUUUACUCAUGGAGCUGAAGUCAGUCGAAGAUACCAGCUGGCUGCAACUGUUUAUUAAAAACACAGCACUGUGCAAACACGAAAGUGGACGUAUACGGUGUGACGCCUGCCCGGUGCCGGAAGGUUAAUUGAUGGGGUCAGCGCAAGCGAAGCUCCUGAUCGAAGCCCCGGUAAACGGCGGCCGUAACUAUAACGGUCCUAAGGUAGCGAAAUUCCUUGUCGGGUAAGUUCCGACCUGCACGAAUGGCGUAAUGAUGGCCAGGCUGUCUCCACCCGAGACUCAGUGAAAUUGAACUCGCUGUGAAGAUGCAGUGUACCCGCGGCAAGACGGAAAGACCCCGUGAACCUUUACUAUAGCUUGACACUGAACAUUGAGCCUUGAUGUGUAGGAUAGGUGGGAGGCUUUGAAGUGUGGACGCCAGUCUGCAUGGAGCCGACCUUGAAAUACCACCCUUUAAUGUUUGAUGUUCUAACGUGGACCCGUUACCCGGGUUGCGGACAGUGUCUGGUGGGUAGUUUGACUGGGGCGGUCUCCUCCUAAAGAGUAACGGAGGAGCACGAAGGUUGGCUAAUCCUGGUCGGACAUCAGGAGGUUAGUGCAAUGGCAUAAGCCAGCUUGACUGCGAGCGUGACGGCGCGAGCAGGUGCGAAAGCAGGUCAUAGUGAUCCGGUGGUUCUGAAUGGAAGGGCCAUCGCUCAACGGAUAAAAGGUACUCCGGGGAUAACAGGCUGAUACCGCCCAAGAGUUCAUAUCGACGGCGGUGUUUGGCACCUCGAUGUCGGCUCAUCACAUCCUGGGGCUGAAGUAGGUCCCAAGGGUAUGGCUGUUCGCCAUUUAAAGUGGUACGCGAGCUGGGUUUAGAACGUCGUGAGACAGUUCGGUCCCUAUCUGCCGUGGGCGCUGGAGAACUGAGGGGGGCUGCUCCUAGUACGAGAGGACCGGAGUGGACGCAUCACUGGUGUUCGGGUUGUCAUGCCAAUGGCACUGCCCGGUAGCUAAAUGCGGAAGAGAUAAGUGCUGAAAGCAUCUAAGCACGAAACUUGCCCCGA
RNAcentral lists this ribosomal RNA (1620 nucleotides) under Salmonella enterica. RNAcentral describes it as "partial 23S ribosomal RNA". It matches the Rfam family "Bacterial large subunit ribosomal RNA", at positions 1200 to 2802 of the family's 2925-position model. Lineage: Bacteria; Pseudomonadati; Pseudomonadota; Gammaproteobacteria; Enterobacterales; Enterobacteriaceae. The record is from RNAcentral.